AAGCCCCGGCACCUUUUAGGGUGCUUCUCCGAACUUGCAUUUCGAUGUGCCUCCACCUNGGGG
Molecule: transfer RNA, 63 nt
Filed under: Pachydactylus punctatus
Lineage: Eukaryota; Metazoa; Chordata; Lepidosauria; Squamata; Gekkonidae
Description: tRNA-Cys
Source: RNAcentral